AGUUAUAUGCUUGUCUCAAAGAUUAAGCCAUGCAUGUCUCAGUACAAGCCUAAUUAAGGUGAAACCGCGAAAGGCUCAUUAAAUCAGUUAUGGUUCCUUAGAUCGUACCCACAUUUACUUGGAUAACUGUGGUAAUUCUAGAGCUAAUACAUGCAAACAGAGCUCCGACCGGAGACGGGAGGAGUGCUUUUAUUAGAUCAAAACCAAUCGGCGGCGGGCGCGUCCGCGCGUCCGUUCGCCGCUCAACCUGGCGACUCUGAAUAACUUUCCGCUGAUCGCACGGUCUCGCACCGGCGACGCAUCUUUCAAAUGUCUGCCUUAUCAACUGUCGAUGGUAGGUUCUGCGCCUACCAUGGUCGUAACGGGUAACGGGGAAUCAGGGUUCGAUUCCGGAGAGGGAGCGUGAGAAACGGCUACCACAUCCAAGGAAGGCAGCAGGCG
RNAcentral lists this ribosomal RNA (441 nucleotides) under Hygrotus solieri. Its description in RNAcentral is "SSU rRNA". It matches the Rfam family "Eukaryotic small subunit ribosomal RNA", at positions 22 to 434 of the family's 1831-position model. Lineage: Eukaryota; Metazoa; Arthropoda; Insecta; Coleoptera; Dytiscidae. The record is from RNAcentral.